GUACUCUCACACUCUAAUUCAUUUUGGAGAAGUGGACUUGGGUGUUGCUGCUUUGCGGUGGCUCAUCUGAAAUAGGGUAGUGCACCUCCUGGUUGGAUAUAGUACAGCGUGAUAAGUAUCUUCGCUGGCGCCUCAUAAAGAGGGUGUCCGAUUGGGGGCUCUGUGCUUCAAACGGUCCCGUACUCUGGGACAAUCUCUGACA
RNAcentral lists this unclassified non-coding RNA (202 nucleotides) under uncultured Sebacina. Its description in RNAcentral is "sequence contains ITS2". The record is from RNAcentral. Lineage: Eukaryota; Fungi; Basidiomycota; Agaricomycetes; Sebacinales; Sebacinaceae.